This 446-nucleotide ribosomal RNA is filed under the name uncultured bacterium. RNAcentral describes it as "SSU rRNA". It matches the Rfam family "Bacterial small subunit ribosomal RNA", at positions 26 to 518 of the family's 1533-position model. The record is from RNAcentral.
AGAGCGAACGCUGGCGGCAGGCCUAAUACAUGCAAGUCGAACGGAUCCUUCGGGAUUAGUGGCGGACGGGUGAGUAACACGUGGGAACGUGCCUUUUGGUUCGGAACAACUCAGGGAAACUUGAGCUAAUACCGAAUGUGCCCUUCGGGGGAAAGAUUUAUCGCCAUUAGAGCGGCCCGCGCCUGAUUAGCUAGUUGGUGGGGUAAUGGCCCACCAAGGCUACGAUCAGUAGCUGGUCUGAGAGGAUGAUCAGCCACACUGGGACUGAGACACGGCCCAGACUCCUACGGGAGGCAGCAGUAGGGAAUCUUGCGCAAUGGGCGAAAGCCUGACGCAGCCAUGCCGCGUGAAUGAUGAAGGUCUUAGGAUUGUAAAAUUCUUUCAGCGGGGACGAUAAUGACGGUACCCGCAGAAGAACGCCCGGCUAACUUCGCGCCAGCAGCCGC